Long non-coding RNA from Canis lupus familiaris (dog), 5847 nucleotides. RefSeq lists it as uncharacterized. NCBI's taxonomy places the organism in Eukaryota, Metazoa, Chordata, Mammalia, Carnivora, Canidae. The record is from RefSeq and is a predicted model, not a curated record. The transcript is spliced from 4 exons.
UGUGAAGCAGACAGACUUGCUGUCAUGAGUCGUUUACGACGGGCUUGUCCCUUCACAGAAGAUGGCUUACAUCAUCACUUCCUGGCCACCUGGUUCCUCAGUGGGCUUUGGGGCGCUGAGAUUGUGAGGCGGGCUGUACAACACUGCACUGACAGUAGGCUCGGGGGUGGGCGUGGGACGGAGUGGCACAGAGAGGACGUGGGUAAAACGUGUAACCUGGCACGGUGCCUGGCAUGGUCACUGCCCAAGAAAAGCGAGCUGCUGUCAAGAUUUUGGGAGGAAGAAUUAUGUUUAAGAACCCAGGCACUCAAACUCUCUCUGGGUCCCAGAUUCCUCAUCUGUGAAGGGAUGAGGAAUGGUAUCUCCCUCACUGAGCUCUUGCAAGGAAAAAAUGCAAAAUCGUGCAGGGCGCUGGGCAGGCAGGGUCUGACAGCCCUCCGUAAAUGUUCACUUGUGCUACAGGGCGGUAUGCACCUGGGCGUUCAGUACCAGUUCACAGGGUGUGUGCUGCACGCCAGCCUCAGUGCUGAGGACAGAGCGGUGAGCAACAAAUACAUGAACACACUUCAUAUGGUGUAAGUGCUAUGGAGAAAAUUAAAGCAGGGUAAGUGGGUGGAAUAUGCUCAAGGCCACGUUGCGGGGGGUUGCAAUUUUACAUAAUGAGGCCUCCCUGACAAGGUGACAUAUGACUAGAAGAGAGAAGGAAGUGAGCCACAGUGGCAUCAGAAAAAGUGCUCCAGCAAGAGGGCACGGGUAGUGCAAAGGCCCUGAGGUUGGAUGCCUGUCUAGCAUACUCGGGAAGCAGCAGAGGUCUGUGUCCCCAGAGCAGAGGGAGCGACAGGGAGCCAGAUCACACAGGGUCUCACAAGCUAAUGCAGGGACUCUGGCUUUCACCUAGAGUGGGCAGAGGGUUCUGAGCAGAGCAGCAAUGGGACCAGAUCCCCCAGACUGCCUUACUGAGGACAGACCAGAGGGAAGUCAGGGUGGAGGCAACAGGGACCAGCGAGGAGGUGACUGCAGAGUCCAGGAGCAGCUGGGGAGCCUGUGGGAGGGGAGAAGAGGGAAUCUGCCCACCGGAGGUGGCGCUGCCAGAGGGGAUGUGGGUGUGAGAGGAGGAGCACAGCCAGGCUGAGGCCAAGGCUUCUGACCUCAACAAAUGGAGCAGCGGACCUGCCCUUUAUCAAGACAGGAAGAUUCUGUGGGGCAGGAGGGGAAAAGCCAGGAGUUUGCUCUUGGGCAUGUUGUUUGAGAGCCGUAGAAACACCCGCGAGAAGAUGCCGAGUGAGCAGUCAGCUCCCAGUCUCGAGUUUGGGCACAAAUGGGUUUCAGAGUCAGGAAAACCUGGAUUCAGACCCCAGUCUGCCACCUGCUGUCUGCAUGACCUUCUGUGAGUGUCUAUACCUCUUGGAGCCUCAAUCUCAUCCUGUCAAGUGGGGAUGGGGAAAUUGAGUCACAUGGCAGUUAAGAACUUGGCUUUAGGUCACAGAGCUGGCCGGUGGCAAUGCCAGGACUUGAAGCCAGGCCUUCUGACUCUAGAACCUGUGUCUGUGUUGUGCUUCCUUCCCUAUUUCACAUGCAUGACUUGCCAUUUUGUGAAACCCACUGGCGGCGCAUCACCCACUACAGCAUUCCUUCUCAUGGAACUCACACGUGGUCUGAGUACUUCUCAGCACGUUUCAGGCCACCAUCGAUUAAACCAUCACCCAACUUGAAACCAGUCUGCUACUUUUGGUUUGGCCAAUAGUCUGAGCCUGGGCUGUCUACCAGGAGUUUAUGGUAAGAACUUAUCCAGACUGUGAAUCUCUGUCUUUUAAAAGAGGAAGUUAAACCACUCACAUUUAUUGUGAUUAUUAAUGUGGAAUUAUUCUUCCUAUAUAACUGUUUUCUUACUAUGCUUUCUUAUAUUCCCCCUACUGUUUAUGCCCUAUCCUUUAAAGGCCUGGAAGUUCUUCAUUCUAUUUUAAUCUCCCAGGAAGUACCCUUACAUUUCAAACAUAAGCAUAAACUUGUAUUUUCUAGCAACAUCUAGAGUGAAUAAAUCUAUUGUCUUCCAAAGGCGAUGGCUCGGAGAGCUUUGGAUCCCUGGCCCAAACUGUUCCCAGAAAGAACCCAGGGGCAUGGCCCAUGAGACCCCCUUGUGUGUAAGUGGCAAUUCUGACUCUCUUGGGACCAAUUAGUGUCCUGGCCUGACUGACAGCUGGGGGUAGGGGGUGUUCCUUAAGGCCUCCACCAAACCCCAAAAGUGCUGCAUUGCUAAGCGCUCUCCCUUACCUUCAGUCUCUGGACGAUUUCCCUUAUGUCCUCCACAGAGCCCUCUGUGGCCUGCAGGAAGAUGUGGUCCCCUCGUCCAUAGAAGAUUUUGAGCGUUGAGGAAUCUGGGGUCCAGCCAAUGACAUCCCCACAGUAGCAGUUGAAUACCACCUCCUUGGUACGCAGGUCCAGGAGCACCACAAACUCGUUGGAAAUCCCCAGGAUGCAGUCGAUUUCUACCCCCUGGGCAUAGUCCUGAGCCGCCACCCUCCAGGCGAUGGCCCCUGCGCUGUGCUGCUCAGCGCCUGCCCUUGCUUUUGUCUUCUCCUUUUUCUUGGAGGUCAAGGAGAUGAGGUUAAAUUUGCCAGUGGAGUCAAUGGGUGUGUUGGAGACACAGUUUUCAGCCAGGUCCUUGAGGUACUCCUGACGGGUCCUGGUGGCCAUGGUGUGGAAUUUGUCGGACUUGUGCGCAGCGUUCUCGGCAUUAAUCACCUUGGCCAGCAAGAAGUCUCUGAAGACGUCAGAUUUGCGGAAUGUGGUUCCACUGGGGAUGGGGGGACCGAAAGGAGGAGCAUCUUUGGAUCGGGUCACAGCCAUACUGAGGAGGGAGAAAUAGAUGGUAGAAAGAAGAGCACUUGAGAUUCCCUUUAGAAAGAAAAUACGUGAUCAGAAACAGGACUUUGCUUUUUAAGAGAGGAAAUCUACUUCUAACUAGUAAAUUGCUGGCUAACUGGACUGGAAACGAGACAGUCUAAGGGCAGAUACAUGUAUCUUUAUUUCCUAGACAACAGAUAUUAGGAUAUCCGCUGAUGUUUCAAGAAUAAUUCUCCUAGCAUUGUUCCAUUUCAGUUACCCUUGUUUUACACACAUACAAACUAUGUGGUAGAUUACAGUUCCGCAAAAAUUCACUCCUCCCUCUCCAACUUUGAGGGUGGGUAUAUCCCUACCCUACUGAUCCUGGUCACGUGACCCGAUUUAGCCAAUAGCUUUUAAGCAAGGCAUGGAAUGCGGUGGGCUUGCCUCCUGUGCUCCUGCCAUCUCCCUGAGAUGAACAUGCCACGGGGGUCCCAGAAGGAUGAGGGACACCUGGAGCAGACCUAGAGCCAAGGCCAGCCAGACCUCAGGUGACCUGCAGAUGUGUGGGCCAGAGAGAAAUAUUAGCCGUCUGUGAGCCACUGAGUUUUGGGGUGGUUUGUUAAGCAGCAUUAGUAUGGGAACACCUGACUGAUACAGUUAUUUAUGUGAUUUACUUUUCUCACACAUCUGUGUAACAUUACUUAAUAUACUGUGUAAAUCAUCCCUACACAGAUAAUUUUGAAAAUCCAUUGUAACGAGAAGUUAGUAGAGACCCUUCUAACUCCCGCUUUGACCAAGGUGCUCUUAUGACAGAAAUGAUUAGAAACCGAGUGAGAAGGUAAAAAGGAAAUGAUCUAAAACGUGUUCUGCCAAACUAGUGGACCCCCUCACCCCUAUGCAAACCACACGGAGAGAGAAGCCUAUGGGGAAGAACAUCUCUGGAGAGAGCUGGCGGUGAGCUCCAUCAUGUCUGUGCCCACCACCGCCGGGACUGGGCACCGCCCAGGUGAUCCUGUAGCCGGGAGGAACCUGGGGUCAGUGGGUCCCCUGCCUGGGAGAUCAGGAGCGAGGGCUGGGAGGUCCUUUGCAGAGCCCAGAGAGCUGCGGUCAGCUGUGUUCAUGGUCUCAGUGACAUUUCCCUGCCUCCCCCUGCUUCCCGGUGCUUCAACCCCGGACAGGUCAGACACCAGCAGUUAGCAGCAGCCAAGGUGCAACAUGGAGGGACAGAGGAGGUGAGCAGGCUCCCCGACCACUGAGGCUUCCAAGCAGAAGCAGCCCUGAGCUGGGAGGUGGGAGAUCUGCUGAGAACUCAAAUCUGGAGGAUCGAUGAGCAUCUCAGAGGGGUCGUUCCAAUGACCAAAUCGAGUCGAGACUCAGCAGCUGUAGGGCAGCUGAUUUCUGAAGUUGGAGAGAGGCUAUGGCACCUCCCAGAGUCACCACCCAGAAGCAGGGGAACUUGACUCUCACCGGAAGAUGUUUAAAGGGGUGCCUGAGAGCUGCUGGUCCCUGGAUGCCUCACUGGUUCCUUAACCCCGGCAUACCUGAGAGGAGCCUGUUCCUUCAUUCUCAGUUAAAACCCAAGGGGGGCAUCUGCUUCUUGAGCGUCCAUCAUGGACACAAGUGUAGCAAUGAGUGACAAUCAGACUGAUGGCCUACAAACAUCACUGCUGCCCCAGGAAGAAAGGAAUGGAAGGGACCAGAGUGCAGGCAGGAGAUCGUCAAAGGAGCUCCUGCACAACCCGGGGAGUCAGGCCAGAUCCCUCACUUGCCAUGUCCACUGUUCACUAUCCAGCGACCCUUUUCCAGUUCUGGAAUGCCAUCCAGGCAGAUGCCACUCGGAGCUUAGCUGAUGCCCCAGCACCAGCACAGGUGUUCACUACUGAUUAAAAUAAUGACUUAAAGUUGAAUGGAUCAAGAAAAAACACAUUUCUACCAAUGUACAGUAGGUUUUCUGUAGGUUUGACAGAAGAAGGCAUUUCCCAGUGGUGUGGUUCUUUGAGGCCACACAAACCAGCCAAGUUUUCUGUGCAAAACUGAGUGGGUAUGGCCUUGCCUGGGGGUGGGGGGUGGGGGGGAUGGAUGAGAUGACUUUCUAAUUCACAGUGCGUCCACACUGUACUUUACAGAUGUGAACAGCUUUGCAACUUCUCCAGUCAGCACUUAGCUGCUUCACGUGACAGAUUCUGGUUUUUCCCACGUCGUCCCGAUUCAUGAUUUUAAGAAUCAUGAAAUCACAAGCUGCUGAAGGUUUUUGGACAAGCAGAACAGCUGGUCCCUUACUUCCCAGCAGGCGGGACUGGGUUGUCAUGGCCCACAGGCUGCAGGGACACUGGUGUGCCACUCAGAAAUGGCACUCCUGAAACCGGGAAGGACAGCACCUCAUUACACAACCAGGAGAUGGUGUGACGUCAGGUCACCUGGUCACUGUAGCUCAGACAGUAUGUCCAGAAUAAUCACGGUGAUUCAUUCAACAACUAUUUUCCUCACUGCCCGUGAUGUUUGGGCCAGGCAUCCGUCUGGCCAGCAAAAAUGUCUUCAGGGUCCACUAUACAGCAAGGCCCAGGCCACGACAGACGCACAAAGGGGAACAUGGGGUUGCUUUCAAGGAAGGCCCGGGCCAUGCCAAGAAGUCGUUUUACAGCAUGACAAGUGCUCUGAUGAAGGCAGCCAGGGGGAGCUGUGGACCUGGGCUGGAUCAUCUCUCCCGGCUCAGAGGACCUGGCCUGCUGGGCUGUCUCUCCCUGCUCAGAGCCUGGUGAUGGCUCCACCUCACUCAGGGUGAUGAUGUACUAAUGGUGUUUCACUGAUUUGCUGACAUUACUGCAUUCACACAAGGUGAGCCUCUGUGACUGUCACUGGCAAGGAUCCAUGCUGGGAAUGUCAAGUCCGCAGAUGGGAAUCCCACGUAGCUCGACACCAAGCGGCCCAGAACAUGGAAUCCAGACACACUUACACUUAGCACGACUCACACUACUGAACUACUUUGUGUGUGUGUUAAACUCAUUAAAUUGCUAAAGUACC